Molecule: ribosomal RNA, 671 nt
Filed under: Salmonella enterica subsp. enterica serovar Bovismorbificans
Lineage: Bacteria; Pseudomonadati; Pseudomonadota; Gammaproteobacteria; Enterobacterales; Enterobacteriaceae
Description: partial 23S ribosomal RNA
Rfam family: Bacterial large subunit ribosomal RNA
Source: RNAcentral
AGACCCGAAACCCGGUGAUCUAGCCAUGGGCAGGUUGAAGGUUGGGUAACACUAACUGGAGGACCGAACCGACUAAUGUUGAAAAAUUAGCGGAUGACCUGUGGCUGGGGGUGAAAGGCCAAUCAAACCGGGAGAUAGCUGGUUCUCCCCGAAAGCUAUUUAGGUAGCGCCUCGUGAAUUCAUCUCCGGGGGUAGAGCACUGUUUCGGCUAGGGGGCCAUCCCGGCUUACCAACCCGAUGCAAACUGCGAAUACCGGAGAAUGUUAUCACGGGAGACACACGGCGGGUGCUAACGUCCGUCGUGAAGAGGGAAACAACCCAGACCGCCAGCUAAGGUCCCAAAGUCAUGGUUAAGUGGGAAACGAUGUGGGAAGGCCCAGACAGCCAGGAUGUUGGCUUAGAAGCAGCCAUCAUUUAAAGAAAGCGUAAUAGCUCACUGGUCGAGUCGGCCUGCGCGGAAGAUGUAACGGGGCUAAACCAUGCACCGAAGCUGCGGCAGCGACGUUUAUGCGUUGUUGGGUAGGGGAGCGUUCUGUAAGCCUGCGAAGGUGGCCUGUGAGGGUUGCUGGAGGUAUCAGAAGUGCGAAUGCUGACAUAAGUAACGAUAAAGCGGGUGAAAAGCCCGCUCGCCGGAAGACCAAGGGUUCCUGUCCAACGUUAAUCGGGGCAGG